CAGAAAAUGCAAGUGAUUUAUCUGCAGGGCACAGUGCAGCUUUGGGCUCACGCAAAUGGUCCCCGCUGUCACAGCUGCAGCAGGAACACGCAUCUCUACAGGAAUCCCGAACGUCUGAAGAUGCAGUUCUAAGGAAUCUUCACUUGCCAACGACAAUCUCCCCACCUCAAACAGCGCUGUGGAUGGACAAAUGUUCUGUGUUCUUGUUUGCCAAAGCAGCUGGAAACAGAGUGGCAUUCUAUGGAAGUGAGGACUGCCAGUAUUGAGGGUUCUUGUUGAAGCCCCCAGUCAUGCACCUGUGCAAGAAUUCAG
This is a long non-coding RNA of Gallus gallus (chicken), 312 nucleotides long. The record is from Ensembl. NCBI's taxonomy places the organism in Eukaryota, Metazoa, Chordata, Aves, Galliformes, Phasianidae.